AAACAAUGUCACCCAUCUGAUCACUUUUUAUGGGCCGAAGGCAAUCCCUUAGAAAGCCGACUGUAGAACAUCUCCAUACAUCCUGCUUUCCCAAUAGGUAUAUGAUCUCUUAUUAUCCUAUAGGAGGGUGUAAAGAAGAAAAAGCCUCAAGCAACAGAUUUACUUCUCGUCAUCCGGCCACCCACUUGUUUUUCUUGAACUUUUGGUAAAUUAGCCGAAAGCUUUACCAUUUUCUCAGUUAUUGAAUCUGUUCUCGAUGAUGUUUGAUCUGAUGUACGCUUUCUCUUUCUAGAUUUUGAGGUUUUGGAUUUUUGUUUGCUGGCUUCUGGGCUACCCAAUUUAGCGCUUCGCAUCUUGGGUGAUUCCUCUCUUUGAGCUCCAUUGCAAGUAGCAUCUCUGCUAAUAGUUUUAGGCCCUAGUGUUUUAGGCAGUGGAGAUUCCAUUUUUGAAGUUUUUCUGACCAAUACAUCCAUAGAUGAUGAAUGGUUGAAGCUCCAUCGAGCAUUCUCAAACCACUUAGUAACCUGCAAAAUACUACUACUACUUCACAACAAAAGAAAUGAAACUGUAUUCACUAAACUCAAGGGGGGAGGAAAAAAAAGGUUGGAGAAAUCAAGAAUGGCACGAAUUCACAGUUGGCAACAAGAGAAUGGAUGACCUGCCGAAAAGUAAUUCCUAGCUCUUUUGCCAGACUUUCUUUUGUGGUUCGGUUGGGAUAUUGAUUUUCCCUAAAGGAUUUGUAGAGUCCCUGCAAAGCAAAAUGGCCAUCACUUGAUGUAUAUCAUCCUUGUGUAUAUCUGUAAAAACAAUCUGGAAAACUAAGGAACAAUAUAAUAUGAUUGUUAUUCUUUUUCAUCACCACCAAUGCUAGAACACUGAGCAAGGCUCAACUCAUGAUAUCCACAGUAGAUUUUAAUUUCCGUGGUUGUAACAUUCUGGGGUUCUUGUCCAGAAUGAACAAAUGCUAAACAAGUCACAAAAUCAUAUUUUCUCCAAGUUUACAAAUGUAAAUAAUUCUCUGUUAGCCAAUAAAAU
This 1035-nucleotide unclassified non-coding RNA is filed under the name Hevea brasiliensis (rubber tree). Lineage: Eukaryota; Viridiplantae; Streptophyta; Magnoliopsida; Malpighiales; Euphorbiaceae. The record is from RNAcentral.